RNAcentral lists this long non-coding RNA (1939 nucleotides) under Parus major (Great Tit). RNAcentral's name for it is "lncRNA (ENSPMJG00000004111.1)". The record is from RNAcentral. Lineage: Eukaryota; Metazoa; Chordata; Aves; Passeriformes; Paridae.
CUUGCAGUUCUGAACAGGUGGCAAAUUCAGAAAGUCCUUUCCAUGGGGUGUCGCUUGGCUCACUCAGUCUCUUAUCAGUCCCUCCUGCAUUGGAAAAUGCCAUGUCCUGGGCCCUGGUGGGACACAGGGGUGAGCUCCUGGUGUUUUCUGGGUUUCCAGUCCAGAGCAGGUUUGAACAGUUCCAAGAAAAAGAAAAAACACAGUCCAGGGAAUUUCUCUGCCUCAGCUACCUAAAAAAACCCUAACUAGAAAGCAAAGGAGACUUCUCUCCCGCUGUCUGCCCAUGCUGCAGACAAUACAGUCUGUGAGAAGGAAAAAUGCUGGAGAGCAAGUGCAGUUUCUGAAAACAAACUGCACAUUUCUUCUUCCCAUCUUUGCUCUCAGAACCAGUCUCAAAGGUAAAGAACAUAAUAUCCAGCAUAAACAGAACAGAUGACUGGGGAUAAAAGCAUCAUAAAGUCACCCCAGGACAGUCUUAUGAGAACUCUGUAAUCUGGAACCUAUCUUGCCUGUUGCCCACAUGGUGUUUUUGGGAGCUUGAAGUCUGCCAGAGAUUUACACGAACCUGUCCUUCCAUUACCAGGCCUCCCACAGAGCCAGGCCAGGAAGACGGAUCAUCCCACCAGUCCUGGUCUUACAAGAGACGAAGACCUGAGAGAUGGCUUUGGAAAGAUCCGUGCUGCAUUGUGCAAGUUGGCUCAGGAGAACUCAGAGCAGAAGGAUGUGGAGGUUUUUGAGGAAGAGAUGAAGAAAAGGACACAAAGGAAAACAUCCUUGCAGCUGCCUCCACUGUCAGGUGACCCCAGGGAUGCAGCAGAAGGAAGUAUGUGUCUACACUUGUGGUCCUUUUUGACCAUUUGCUUGCCCUUUGCACAAUGCUGCAAUCAGACUGGGGGGCUGUGCUGCUUGCAUCUGAGUGGAAGACCGAAGAGGAGUUAGUUCUGUUCCCCAAAGAAAUAUACAGAGGCCCAUGGCCGCACUAAGUCAAUAACAGAAUAUCAGCUUCCCACCUUUACCUCCUAAGUUUUUCAGAGCAGAAAACUUUGUCUUGCAAAGUUGAAUGGGUCUUCAGACUCUCUCCUGGAGAGCAGCCUCCAGGGAAGGGGAGUCCAGAAGAAUGCUUCUCAGCCAUGGUGGAACUGGGAAGAAACAAAAUUCAACUGCUUCUAAUGAAAACACCAGAGAUCCUUCUCCUGCCACAGCCUGCUGAGGAGCUGGCACUGUAGAGCUGUGCUGAAGCCCCGAGCCAGUGCUUCUGUUGUAGCCCCAGGAGCAAGCAGUGUUCCUGACUGAAUCCUGGCUGAGGGGCUCUGACUGCAGUGCUGUGUGCGCUGCCCCCAGGGUGGCAGCAGGGACCUUAGGAGGCAGCACUCAGCCCGAGGGCAUCACUCAAGGCUAUCUGCACUUUCAUUUGGUAACUUCCCCAGCCAGACUCUGAAACAGGAAAACAAAAGCAAAGCAAUACUGGGUUUUUCCUUCUUUCUUAGGGAAAGCAUCACUGCAAUUUGGUUUUAAACUAGAAGAGGGUAGAUUCCGAUUAGAUUCUAGGGGGAAUGUUUUUAUAAUGAAGGGGAUGAAGCACUGGAAGGGUUUGCUCACAGAAGCUGCUGUUGAUCCAUUCUUGAAGGUGUUCAAAUCCAAUUUACAUGGGGCUCUGAGCAAUCUCAUCUAGAUGAAGAUUUCCCUGCUCACAGGGGUCAGACUAGAUGGUGCUUACAGGUGCCUUCCAAGCCAAACUCUUCUAGGAUUCUGUGAUUCUGUGAUCACAGUCCCAUGUUAGCAUGCCACUAUUAUACUUGAAGUUCUUUGGGAUAACAAAGAGAUGUUACCCAAGUCCAGCAAGUUUUCUGGCCCUUUCCAUCAUCACCCUGUUCAGCAGCCUCCACUUACAGGCUGCUCUAUGGUCUCCCCACAGGCUUUAGCCUACCGCCUGUCAAUG